This 492-nucleotide ribosomal RNA is filed under the name uncultured bacterium. RNAcentral describes it as "partial 16S ribosomal RNA". It matches the Rfam family "Bacterial small subunit ribosomal RNA", at positions 29 to 507 of the family's 1533-position model. The record is from RNAcentral.
AGUGAACGCUGGCGGUAGGCCUAACACAUGCAAGUCGAACGGCAGCACAGUAAGAGCUUGCUCUUACGGGUGGCGAGUGGCAGACGGGUGAGGAAUACAUCGGAAUCUACUUUUUCGUGGGGGAUAACGGAGGGAGACUUACGCUAAUACCGCAUACGACCUACGGGUGGAAGCAGGGGAUCUUCGCACCUUGCGCGAUUGAAUGAGCCGAGGUCGGAUUAGCUAGUUGGGGGGGUAAAGGCCUACCAGGGCGAGGAUCCGUAGCUGGUCGGAGAGGAUGAUCAGCCACACUGGAACUGAGACACGGUCGCGACUCCUACGGGAGGCAGCAGUGGGGAAUAUUGGACAAGGGGGGCAAGCCUGAUCCAGCCCUACCGCGGCGGUGAAGAAGGCCUUCGGGUUGUAAAGCGCUUUUGUUGGGAAAGAAGAACAGCAGGUUAAUACAUGGCUGUUCUGACGGUACCCAAAGAAUAAGCCCCGGCUAACUUCGUG